This 467-nucleotide ribosomal RNA is filed under the name uncultured bacterium. RNAcentral's name for it is "partial 16S ribosomal RNA". It matches the Rfam family "Bacterial small subunit ribosomal RNA", at positions 28 to 507 of the family's 1533-position model. The record is from RNAcentral.
GACGAACGCUGGCGGCGUGCUUAACACAUGCAAGUCGAACGGAAAGGCCCUGCUUUUGUGGGGUGCUCGAGUGGCGAACGGGUGAGUAACACGUGAGUAACCUGCCCUUGACUUUGGGAUAACUUCAGGAAACUGGGGCUAAUACCGGAUAGGAGCUCCUGCUGCAUGGUGGGGGUUGGAAAGUUUCGGCGGUUGGGGACGGACUCGCGGCUUUCAGCUUGUUGGUGGGGUAGUGGCUUACCAAGGCUUUGACGGGUAGCCGGCCUGAGAGGGUGACCGGCCACAUUGGGACUGAGAUACGGCCCAGACUCCUACGGGAGGCAGCAGUGGGGAAUAUUGCACAAUGGGCGGAAGCCUGAUGCAGCAACGCCGCGUGCGGGAUGACGGCCUUCGGGUUGUAAACCGCUUUCGCCUGUGACGAAGCGUGAGUGACGGUAAUGGGUAAAGAAGCACCGGCUAACUACGUG